AGAAGACUCAUCGAAAGUAUCAAGACCCGAAGAUGGUAUUAGAGAAACAAAAAUCUCGUGGGUAGAGAGAGCCAUAAGAUGAGAAUACAUGUUUCCAGUCUCUCCAUAGACUACAUUUUAAUGGGAGGAAAAGAAAAGAAGGAAAACGCACGUCAUUAUAACUCUCCCUUACCGGUUUUGGAACUCUUCUUCCAUUGUGCUUUCUUCGUUCCCCACCACUUUCUCAUCCUGUGGGAUAUUCUGUUAGCGUGAUUCUUCAGAGUCUCACUUCUAUCUUGAAUUCCUUUGGUGAUUCGUUGCUUCCAAUCAUUCUUCUUACUUUCUUUUUCUUUAAUAACCUUUCCCAGCUUUGAUGGGAAGCUUCCUUCGUCAUCAUCAUCGUCAUCAUCAGCAUCUUCAUCACCAAACUUUUUCAUUAAAUCUUCCCUAGAAUACAUUUGCAUACCUGGGGCUCCAGGCAUACCCUGCAUGGAUCGCAUUAGCUUUUCCAUUUCAGCCUCUUUUGAGGACUUAGCAACAAAAGGUUCUCCUGGGACUCUAUUCUUA
Molecule: unclassified non-coding RNA, 546 nt
Filed under: Hevea brasiliensis (rubber tree)
Lineage: Eukaryota; Viridiplantae; Streptophyta; Magnoliopsida; Malpighiales; Euphorbiaceae
Source: RNAcentral